UCCUCUUUCUUGUGUGUUUUUACUAGGUGUAAUCAAAAGUAUGGUGAAUGCUGCUGCCAAGUGACAUCCAGUGGAAAAUCAUUACUGUGUGUCCAUAUCCACUUUAUUCACCAGAUCUAGCACCAUGCAACCUCUGGUUUUUACCCAAUGUCAAAGUGACCAUGAAAGGCAAGCAUUUUGGAUGAAUUCUGGACAUCAUGGUAGCCAUGAUAGCACAACUAAAAAAGAUUCAUCCAAACUGUAUGUCAGCUGGAGGUUGUAACAGGGAAUCAAAGGUCUC
This 280-nucleotide long non-coding RNA is filed under the name Chinchilla lanigera (long-tailed chinchilla). RNAcentral's name for it is "lncRNA (ENSCLAG00000022285.1)". The record is from RNAcentral. Lineage: Eukaryota; Metazoa; Chordata; Mammalia; Rodentia; Chinchillidae.